RNAcentral lists this RNase P RNA (317 nucleotides) under Marinirhabdus gelatinilytica. Its description in RNAcentral is "Bacterial RNase P class A". It matches the Rfam family "Bacterial RNase P class A". From Rfam's summary of the family: Ribonuclease P (RNase P) is a ubiquitous endoribonuclease, found in archaea, bacteria and eukarya as well as chloroplasts and mitochondria. Its best characterised activity is the generation of mature 5'-ends of tRNAs by cleaving the 5'-leader elements of precursor-tRNAs. Cellular RNase Ps are ribonucleoproteins. Lineage: Bacteria; Pseudomonadati; Bacteroidota; Flavobacteriia; Flavobacteriales; Flavobacteriaceae. The record is from RNAcentral.
GCUGCAGGCCGCCUUAUCGUUUCCGCUUAGGCGGGAGAGGAAAGUCCGGACACCAUAGGGAAGCAUAGCGGCUAACGGCCGUCAUCCCGCUACCAGCGGGAGAGGACCAGUGCAACAGAAAGGAUGUACAGGUAAUGCUGUAGUGAAAUCAGGUAAACUCUAUGCGGUGAAAUGCCACGUAUACCAGCGUUAAGGGUACCCGCCCGUGCUGGAGGGUAGGCAGAUAGACCCCGUUAGUAAUAGCGGGGCCAGAUAAAUGAUAAGGGUCCCGAAGUUACUUCGGGAUACAGAAUCCGGCUUAUAGGCCUGCAUUUUUU